UUCGUCGCACUAGUUUUGGGGAUUAAAACUAUCUUUGUGAAAUUCACCUCUUCCAACGAUAUCUCUCUAUUUAGAGCUAUUCUUAAAAUAUCGAAUUGCGAUUUUUAAUUUUUCAUCCUCCUCCUCCCUUAUAAUCCCAUCACCAUAUCACAAUCCCUUAAUAUUGUUCACUUUACACCAAUAAUUAGCAUAAGAAUGAAAAAAUUUAGUGUUACGAUCACCAUACCUUAACCAAUUAGCUGGAUCGUUGCUCCCAGUGUA
Molecule: long non-coding RNA, 261 nt
Filed under: Gossypium barbadense (sea-island cotton)
Lineage: Eukaryota; Viridiplantae; Streptophyta; Magnoliopsida; Malvales; Malvaceae
Description: long non-coding RNA (GBAR_LNC005171)
Source: RNAcentral